UACGAAGGAUCCAAGCGUUAUCCGGAAUCAUUGGGUUUAAAGGGUCCGUAGGCGGUUUAAUAAGUCAGUGGUGAAAGCCCAUCGCUCAACGGUGGAACGGCCAUUGAUACUGUUAAACUUGAAUUAUUAGGAAGUAACUAGAAUAUGUAGUGUAGCGGUGAAAUGCUUAGAGAUUACAUGGAAUACCAAUUGCGAAGGCAGGUUACUACUAAUGGAUUGACGCUGAUGGACGAAAGCGUGGGUAGCGAACAGG
Molecule: ribosomal RNA, 253 nt
Filed under: uncultured bacterium
Lineage: Bacteria
Description: partial 16S ribosomal RNA
Rfam family: Bacterial small subunit ribosomal RNA
Source: RNAcentral